UCGGGAAUCUUCCGCAAUGGGCGAAAGCCUGACGGAGCGACGCCGCGUGAGCGAUGAAGGCCUUCGGGUUGUAAAGCUCUGUGGGGAGGGAAGAAUAAGUUCAGAUUAACACUCUGAAUGAUGACGGUACCUCCUUAGCAAGCACCGGCUAACUCUGUGCCAGCAGCCGCGGUAAGACAGAGGGUGCAAACGUUGUUCGGAUUUACUGGGCGUAAAGCGCGUGUAGGCGGCUUUACAAGUCGGAUGUGAAAGCCCACGGCUCAACCGUGGAAGUGCAUCCGAAACUGUAUCGCUGGAGUCCCGGAGAGGAAGGUGGAAUGCUUGGUGUAGAGGUGAAAUUCGUAGAUAUCAAGCAGAACACCUGCGGCGAAGGCGGCCUUCUGGACGGUGACUGACGCUGAGACGCGAAAGCGUGGGGAGCAAACAG
Molecule: ribosomal RNA, 427 nt
Filed under: uncultured bacterium
Lineage: Bacteria
Description: bacterial SSU rRNA
Rfam family: Bacterial small subunit ribosomal RNA
Source: RNAcentral